Tupaia belangeri chinensis (Chinese tree shrew) is the source of this 476-nucleotide long non-coding RNA. RefSeq lists it as uncharacterized. Lineage: Eukaryota; Metazoa; Chordata; Mammalia; Scandentia; Tupaiidae. The record is from RefSeq and is a predicted model, not a curated record. The transcript is spliced from 3 exons.
GGUCAUUCUGGGCGCCAUCGCGGUUCCAACUGGUUCAGACCCAGCUCUCUCCGGACUUCUUGUCUGUCAACUUUUAGGUGUAUGGAGUGUCCCUUGCCUCAGUUCCCUGCUGUCUCAGAUUUCUUAUGUCCAAGGAAAACCUGAGUUCUCAGCCUCCUAUUCAAGCCCAGAGUAAACAAAUACUCAGGAGAAGAAUGACUUCAAAAGGUAGGUCUUAGGUUCUCGAGAUCUGAUAGCGCAUCAUGGCACCUGAGUGCAUGGCUGUGGUGGAGACCUAUGGGAUUUUCACUGUCUCAAUUCAUCCUGUGGGGACUGUUGGCAAAGAUGAUCCUCUGAACUCCUUUCUCUGGUACUGGCUAUUGUUUUUCUGAUGAGGGGCAGAUACUUGACCAAAUAGCUAGGCUGCAUAUGGUGUGUGAAUCCUCUUUCAAGUCUUCCUGCAGCAGGUACUGUCUCUGCCUACCUUUUCAUGUCCU